GACGAACGCUGGCGGCGUGCUUAACACAUGCAAGUCGAACGGAAAGGCCCUGCUUUUGUGGGGUGCUCGAGUGGCGAACGGGUGAGUAACACGUGAGUAACCUGCCCUGGACUUUGGUAUAACUUAAGGAAACUGGGGUUAAUACCAGAUAGGAUCUCCUGCUGCAGUGUGAGGGUGGGAAAGUUUCGGCGGUUGGGGAUGGACGCGCGGCUUAUGAGCUUGUUGGUGGGGUAGUGGCUUACCAAGGCUUUGAAGGGUAGCCGGCCUGAGAGGGUGACCGGCCACAUUGGGACUGAGAUACGGCGCAGCAUCCUACGGGAGGCAACAGUGGGGAAUAUUGCACAACGGGCGGAAGCCUGAUGCAGCAGCGCCGCGUGCGGGAUGACGGCCUUCGGGUUGUGAACCGCUUUCGCCUGUGACGAAGCGUGAGUGACGGUAACGGGUAAAGAAGCACCGGCUAACUACGUG
RNAcentral lists this ribosomal RNA (468 nucleotides) under uncultured bacterium. RNAcentral's name for it is "partial 16S ribosomal RNA". It matches the Rfam family "Bacterial small subunit ribosomal RNA", at positions 28 to 507 of the family's 1533-position model. The record is from RNAcentral.